Molecule: non-coding RNA, 369 nt
Organism: Coturnix japonica (Japanese quail)
Lineage: Eukaryota; Metazoa; Chordata; Aves; Galliformes; Phasianidae
Source: RefSeq, a predicted model, not a curated record
GGUGGGGCGCGGGCGGGCUGGGGUGGCUGUCAGACAGUUCGGCCGCAAGGCGUUGUUGCUGUGGUCCUAUUUCCAGCUGGGGGUCCUGGGCACCUGCACGGCCUUCGCCCCCAAUUACGGCUCGUACUGCGCCUUCAGAUUCGGGGGGGGGAUGGCGCUGUCCGGGUUCGGGCUCAGCAUCGCGUGUCUGGUGGUGGAGUGGAUCCCCACCCCGUACCGCGCCAUCACGGUGGCCAUCACGGGCUUCUCCUACACGCUGGGUCAGAUCCUGUUGGCCGCCAUCGCUUACGCCGUCCCCCAUUGGAGGUGGCUGCAGCUCAGCGUCUCCCUGCCGUUCUUUGGCUUCUUCCUCUUCUCAUGGUAAAUAGG